This is a ribosomal RNA of Bison bison bison, 119 nucleotides long. Lineage: Eukaryota; Metazoa; Chordata; Mammalia; Artiodactyla; Bovidae. The record is from Ensembl.
GUCUAUGGCCAUACCACCCUGAAUGCACCCAACCGUGUCUGACCUAGGAAGUUAAGCAGGUUUGGGCCUGGUUAGUACUUGGAUGGGAGACUGUCUGGAAAUAUCAGGUGCUUUGGGCU